UACGUAGGGUGCAAGCGUUGUCCGGAAUUAUUGGGCGUAAAGAGCUUGUAGGCGGUUUGUCGCGUCUGCUGUGAAAUUUCGGGGCUCAACCCCGAACUUGCAGUGGGUACGGGCAGACUAGAGUGUGGUAGGGGAGACUGGAAUUCCUGGUGUAGCGGUGAAAUGCGCAGAUAUCGGGAAGAACACCCGUGGCGAAGGCGGUUCUCUGGGACGGUACUGACGCUGAGACGCGAAAGCGCGGGGAGCGAACGGG
This 253-nucleotide ribosomal RNA is filed under the name uncultured bacterium. RNAcentral's name for it is "partial 16S ribosomal RNA". It matches the Rfam family "Bacterial small subunit ribosomal RNA", at positions 524 to 776 of the family's 1533-position model. The record is from RNAcentral.